Molecule: long non-coding RNA, 728 nt
Organism: Sycon ciliatum
Lineage: Eukaryota; Metazoa; Porifera; Calcarea; Leucosolenida; Sycettidae
Exons: 2
Source: RefSeq, a predicted model, not a curated record
GUCAGCGAAAAGUUGGGCAGAGAGGUGUGUGAUGCUCUGCCGGCAUUCCAUGCCUUUACCGGCUGUGACGCAGUCAGUUCCUUUGCGCACCAUGGCAAGAAAUCUGCCUUCAAGUUGCUGUGCUCCCCAGCCCACUCCGACUACAAGGCAAUCUUCGCCCGUGUUGGUUGUAACUUUGACGGACUUCCUGGUGAUGUCACUGAUUCCCUGGAGACGUUUCUGUGCCUUCUCUACAAUGCAAAAAGUUGCACCAAGGUCAACGAUGCAAGGUAUCAGUUGUUCUGCACGAAAACGUUGCAGUCGAAUCAGCUUCCACCAUGCCAUGAUGCCUUCGUCAAGCACUGCGCCAGGGCCAACUAUCAGGCUGCUGUGUGGCGCCUUUGUCUUGCUGCAAUACCAGACAUACCUGCUCCACACGAGAAUAAUCAAGGCUGGUGUCUGAAUAGCGAUGGCAAUCUUGCCGUUUCUUGGUUGAGCCUACCCCCAGCGCCCCGAGCACUCCUUGAGUUCCUCAGCUGUGGCUGCAAGACAGGCUGUAGCAGUGGGAACUGCUCAUGCCGGCGCCAUACUUUGAAAUGCACAGAUGCCUGCCAGUGUCGCCACAACUCGGCAGGAGUUGCCUGCACCAACUGCCCAACUCUGGACACGGUUCAGGAAGACGUUGCUUCAUCUCUGGAAGCAGAUGACACACUGCAAGCUGUGCAGUGAAACACUUCUUCGCUGGUCGC